CCCAGGCUCUCUCUUGGAUGGCUCCUGCUGGGGCAGGCAAGCCCCAGCUUGAAUGGAUGGGGGUGGGGGGAAGGAAUCUGGCAGACAUAGGAAAGACCUGAGGGCUUCAGGCUAACAGCCGGCAAGGAAACAAAGCCUGACAAUCAAUUGCAUGGCAGCCAGUGGAUCUUUUUGCUCUGAUCAGAUCUUGAAAUGCCUGGAACCCACGUGAGACCUCGAGCUGCAGGAAGCAGCUAAACUGUGGGGAUUCCUGCCGGACAGGAACUGAGAUAAACAGUGACUCCUAAGCACCAAAAAGCCCGCGGUAGGGCAAAGGCCUUCCAGCCUCUCUUCCACUCAUGCCUGUUGUCAUGAUGUUGUCCCUCGGGGAAGACCAGAAGAAUGGAGCCAAUUGAACCCCAUGAAGCACUAGGCAUGGUGACACAGGUCUGCAAUCUCAGAAUUCAGGAGCUGCCUGCUUCCCUUUUCUCAUGGUCUUAAGGUGCUUCUCUGCCAUUCGGUAUUCCUCAGCAUCUCCUCCAACGAGGCUACAUUCGCCUAAUCCUUUCCAAACAGCCACCAUCUGGGAAUCAAUGCUUCGGACAAGGGACAUCUUAUUCAAACUGUCACAAAAAGUCGCGGGGCACAUGAUUUUGAAUGUUAUGCCUCACACCUGGACCCUUCCUGUCUCCUCUCUGUCCUGGCCACCAUGAGGUAAGCUGCUUCAUUCAACCACUGCCACUAGGCUCUGACUGAGAAGCCACAGAACCAGGGGAGGGAAGCUCUGAAUCUGCAAGCCAAACCGGAUCUUUCCUUUUGGGCUGUUUCCCUGGUGCGUUUGUCACAGAGAUGAAAAGUCUGACGAAUACAGAAUACCUGCCAGGUGGCGUUGCCAGGACUGUCUGACCAUGUGGUUUAGAAACUUGGAACUGACCUGUGGAAUCUGGAAAAUUCUGGAGAAGUAAUGGAGAAACCCUAGGGUGAUGUAAGCAAAGUUUAGGGAGCCACAGUGUUGAGAGUGCAGAAGUCCAGAAUGCUGCUAGAACUGUGAACAAUAAAAAUUGUUCAGGAAGUUUCAGACAGGAACAUGACUCACAAAGGAUUAGAGACCAUCCAUGUUUGUGGUGAUUUGAAUGAGAGUGGCCCCAUAGACUCAAUGUUUGAGUUCUUGAUCUCCAGUUAGUGAAACCAUUUGGGAAGGAUUAAGAAGUGUUAUACCUCCUUGUUGGAGGAAGUGUGUCACUUUGGGGUGGGCUUUGAGAUUUC
Molecule: long non-coding RNA, 1245 nt
Organism: Mus musculus (house mouse)
Lineage: Eukaryota; Metazoa; Chordata; Mammalia; Rodentia; Muridae
Product: predicted gene, 34704
Exons: 5
Source: RefSeq, a predicted model, not a curated record